Molecule: ribosomal RNA, 497 nt
Filed under: uncultured bacterium
Lineage: Bacteria
Description: partial 16S ribosomal RNA
Rfam family: Bacterial small subunit ribosomal RNA
Source: RNAcentral
GAUGAACGCUGGCGGCGUGCCUAAUACAUGCAAGUCGAGCGAACGGACGAGAAGCUUGCUUUUCUGAUGUUAGCGGCGGACGGGUGAGUAACACGUGGAUAACCUACCUAUAAGACUGGGAUAACUUCGGGAAACCGGAGCUAAUACCGGAUAAUAUUUUGAACCGCAUGGUUCAAAAGUGAAAGACGGUCUUGCUGUCACUUAUAGAUGGAUCCGCGCUGCAUUAGCUAGUUGGUAAGGUAACGGCUUACCAAGGCAACGUUGCAUAGCCGACCUGAGAGGGGGAUCGGCCACAUUGGAACUGAGAAACGGUCCAGACUCCUACGGGAGGCAGCAGUAGGGAAUCUUCCGCAAUGAGCGAAGGCCUGACGGGGCAACGCCGCGUAAUGGAUGAAGGUCUUCGAAUCGUAAACCUCUGUUGUUAGGGAAGAACAUAUGUGUAAGUAACUGUGCACAUCUUGACGGUACCUAAUCAGAAAGCCACGGCUAACUACGUG